This 1426-nucleotide ribosomal RNA is filed under the name Klebsiella pneumoniae. RNAcentral's name for it is "16S ribosomal RNA". It matches the Rfam family "Bacterial small subunit ribosomal RNA". Lineage: Bacteria; Pseudomonadati; Pseudomonadota; Gammaproteobacteria; Enterobacterales; Enterobacteriaceae. The record is from RNAcentral.
UGGCGGCGGCUAACACAUGCAAGUCGAGCGGUAGCACAGAGAGCUUGCUCUCGGGUGACGAGCGGCGGACGGGUGAGUAAUGUCUGGGAAACUGCCUGAUGGAGGGGGAUAACUACUGGAAACGGUAGCUAAUACCGCAUAAUGUCGCAAGACCAAAGUGGGGGACCUUCGGGCCUCAUGCCAUCAGAUGUGCCCAGAUGGGAUUAGCUAGUAGGUGGGGUAACGGCUCACCUAGGCGACGAUCCCUAGCUGGUCUGAGAGGAUGACCAGCCACACUGGAACUGAGACACGGUCCAGACUCCUACGGGAGGCAGCAGUGGGGAAUAUUGCACAAUGGGCGCAAGCCUGAUGCAGCCAUGCCGCGUGUGUGAAGAAGGCCUUCGGGUUGUAAAGCACUUUCAGCGGGGAGGAAGGCGGUGAGGUUAAUAACCUUGUCGAUUGACGUUACCCGCAGAAGAAGCACCGGCUAACUCCGUGCCAGCAGCCGCGGUAAUACGGAGGGUGCAAGCGUUAAUCGGAAUUACUGGGCGUAAAGCGCACGCAGGCGGUCUGUCAAGUCGGAUGUGAAAUCCCCGGGCUCAACCUGGGAACUGCAUUCGAAACUGGCAGGCUAGAGUCUUGUAGAGGGGGGUAGAAUUCCAGGUGUAGCGGUGAAAUGCGUAGAGAUCUGGAGGAAUACCGGUGGCGAAGGCGGCCCCCUGGACAAAGACUGACGCUCAGGUGCGAAAGCGUGGGGAGCAAACAGGAUUAGAUACCCUGGUAGUCCACGCCGUAAACGAUGUCGAUUUGGAGGUUGUGCCCUUGAGGCGUGGCUUCCGGAGCUAACGCGUUAAAUCGACCGCCUGGGGAGUACGGCCGCAAGGUUAAAACUCAAAUGAAUUGACGGGGGCCCGCACAAGCGGUGGAGCAUGUGGUUUAAUUCGAUGCAACGCGAAGAACCUUACCUGGUCUUGACAUCMMCAGAACUUUCCAGAGAUGGAUUGGUGCCUUCGGGAACUGUGAGACAGGUGCUGCAUGGCUGUCGUCAGCUCGUGUUGUGAAAUGUUGGGUUAAGUCCCGCAACGAGCGCAACCCUUAUCCUUUGUUGCCAGCGGUUAGGCCGGGAACUCAAAGGAGACUGCCAGUGAUAAACUGGAGGAAGGUGGGGAUGACGUCAAGUCAUCAUGGCCCUUACGACCAGGGCUACACACGUGCUACAAUGGCAUAUACAAAGAGAAGCGACCUCGCGAGAGCAAGCGGACCUCAUAAAGUAUGUCGUAGUCCGGAUUGGAGUCUGCAACUCGACUCCAUGAAGUCGGAAUCGCUAGUAAUCGUAGAUCAGAAUGCUACGGUGAAUACGUUCCCGGGCCUUGUACACACCGCCCGUCACACCAUGGGAGUGGGUUGCAAAAGAAGUAGGUAGCUUAACCUUCGGGAGGGCGCUACC